AACGAACGCUGGCGGCGUGCCUAACACAUGCAAGUCGAGCGCGAAAAGGGCAACCUGAGUAGAGCGGCGCACGGGUGCGUAACACGUGGGUAAUCUGCCUUAGAGUCGAGGAUAACCUUCCGAAAGGUUGGCUAAUACUCGGUGAGCUUACGGUGUCUUCGGACGCUGUGGGAAAAGUAGGCCUCUGUUUACAAGCUUACGCUCUGAGAUGAGCCCGCGGCCCAUCAGCUAGUUGGCGGUGUAACGGACCACCAAGGCAACGACGGGUAGCUGGUCUGAGAGGACGAUCAGCCACACUGGAACUGAGACACGGUCCAGACUCCUACGGGAGGCAGCAGUGGGGAAUUUUCCACAAUGGGCGAAAGCCUGAUGGAGCAACGCAGCGUGUGUGAUGAAGGUUUUCGGAUCGUAAAGCACUUUCGACCGGGACGAAAAACCUCUGGCUAACAUCCAGGGGCCUGACGGUACCGGGAGAAGAAGCACCGGCUAACUCUGUGCCAGCCGCCGCCGUAA
Molecule: ribosomal RNA, 513 nt
Filed under: uncultured bacterium
Lineage: Bacteria
Description: partial 16S ribosomal RNA
Rfam family: Bacterial small subunit ribosomal RNA
Source: RNAcentral